RNAcentral lists this long non-coding RNA (1577 nucleotides) under Nicotiana tabacum (common tobacco). Its description in RNAcentral is "long non-coding RNA (NTAB_LNC005811)". Lineage: Eukaryota; Viridiplantae; Streptophyta; Magnoliopsida; Solanales; Solanaceae. The record is from RNAcentral.
UAAAAAUGGCCAAACCCUCAUUUUUUGAAAUGAUAUAAGUAUGCCCAGUGAUUCCUUAAUCGCGGUCGCGGAACUAGCCUCGUGAUCACGAAGAACAACUUCGCUGUCCUAGGAUUUAACCCUGCGCAAACACGUAAAACACCAAGUGAACACGGUGUACUGGCUCUCAGACUUACAUGAUCGCGAACGUCCUCAAGCGUUCGGGAUGAUAAAAGCGUGUGGCCCAACUUUAGCCUCCUUAACUCUACGCAAACGUGACCUUGGCCAUGCGUUCGCGAACCACCACUUUACACCACUAUAUGUUCGCAUCCUUCUGCCCGUGAACAUGAAGAACAAAACUUCCUCUGCCUAGCUAAGCCUACGCGAUCGCGUAUAAGGAAACGAGAUGCACCAGGUCACAGAACUUGAUCCCUUUCUCUAAGUCCAAAAUGCUUCCGAUAAUGAUCCGAAACACACCCGAGGCACCCGGGACCUCAACCAAAGAUACCAACAAGUCCUAAAACACCAUACAAACUUAAUCGAGCCCUCAAACCAUAUCAAACAAUGCACCCGGGACCUCAACCAAAGAUACCAACAAGUCCUAAAACACCAUACAAACUUAAUCGAGCCCUCAAACCAUAUCAAACAAAUCGCCCUCCAAUUCAAACUUAAAGAACUUGAAACUUUAAAUUUCCACAACCGAUGCCGAAACCUAGCAAACCACGUCCGAUUGACCCGAAAUUUUGCACACAUGUCAUAUUCAACCCUACGAACCUACUCCAACUUCCGGAAAUCUCCAAAACUUUGACUUUUGCCAUUUGAAGCCUAAAUGAGAUACAGACCUCCAAAACACUAUCCGAAAAUGCCCCUAAGUUCAAAAUCACAUAACGGAGCUAACGGAACCAACAAAACUCUAUUCCGGAAAUGUCAUCACACAGUUCCGAUUAUGGUCUGAAUCGUAAGGCUAAACCUCUAUUUAAGGACUAAGUCUCCUAAAAUACUCCAAAAAGCAAAAUGAAAUCUCCGGGAAAGUCACAAUAGCAGAAAACGAUAUGGGAGAAGCAGUUAAUAGGGGAUCAGGGCUAUAACUCUCAAAACAACCGGCCAUGUCAUUACAGUAUGGAAUGAUUGUCCCUGUAUCAUGCUAUCUGGGAUUGCCAUGCAACGACUAUGACUUUAUCCAUGUUGGGGUUGCCCAGAUUGGAGUAGAGAGGGAAUAUUGGUCACUCAACUAGUAGGGUGGUUUCAUAUUUGAAGGCUCGACAUAUGGUCGAGAAGAAGUGUUUGGCGUAUUUGGCAUAUAUUCGUUAUUUUAGUGCGGAGGUUCCUUCUAUGGAUUCGGUACCGGUCCUGAGUGAGUUUCCUGAGGUGUUUCCUACAGAUAUGGAGGGUAUGCAACCCGACAAGGGUAUCAACUUGUUCAUUUAUUUGGUUUCGGGCACUUAACCCAUUUCUAUGCCACCGUAUCGUAUGGCUCCAGCUGAGUUAUAAUAUUUAAUGGAUAAGUUGUAGGAUUUGCUUGACAAGGGGUUCAUCAGAUCGAGUGUUUCACCCAGGGGUGUGCCAAUGUUGUUUGUUAAGAAAACGUACGGGUUAAU